This 241-nucleotide long non-coding RNA is filed under the name Felis catus (domestic cat). RNAcentral describes it as "lncRNA (ENSFCAG00000047148.1)". The record is from RNAcentral. Lineage: Eukaryota; Metazoa; Chordata; Mammalia; Carnivora; Felidae.
GCUUCAUAAUGGGAACUAACAUUUUCUGGAACUUCACGACUUAAAAAGUAAAUUCAUGUAUGAAAGAUCUUCACAGAAGAGUGGAGUGUGCACCCCUACCAAUAACUGGAUAUUCACUAAUCCCUUCUCAAAUGCUUUGCCCUCCAACAGAACGAGGAGGAAUACUGAAAAUCACAGGAUAAGCUUCCUGGGCCAUCAGCUGUGUUCCAAUAUUUGUGGAGGCAUCUCAGUAAUUUUAACA